RNAcentral lists this ribosomal RNA (1428 nucleotides) under Enterococcus sp. T56_13. RNAcentral describes it as "bacterial SSU rRNA". It matches the Rfam family "Bacterial small subunit ribosomal RNA". The record is from RNAcentral. Lineage: Bacteria; Bacillati; Bacillota; Bacilli; Lactobacillales; Enterococcaceae.
UGCAAGUCGAACGCUUCUUUUCCCACCGGAGCUUGCUCCACCGGGAAAAGAGGAGUGGGCCGGGUGAGUAACACGUGGGUAACCUGCCCAUCAGAAGGGGAUAACACUUGGAAACAGGUGCUAAUACCGUAUAACAAUCGAAACCGCAUGGUUUCGUUUUGAAAGGCGCUUUACGGUGCCGCUGAUGGAUGGACCCGCGGUGCAUUAGCUAGUUGGUGAGGUAACGGCUCACCAAGGCCACGAUGCAUAGCCGACCUGAGAGGGUGAUCGGCCACAUUGGGACUGAGACACGGCCCAAACUCCUACGGGAGGCAGCAGUAGGGAAUCUUCGGCAAUGGACGAAAGUCUGACCGAGCAACGCCGCGUGAGUGAAGAAGGUUUUCGGAUCGUAAAACUCUGUUGUUAGAGAAGAACAAGGGUGAGAGUAACUGUUCACCCCUUGACGGUAUCUAACCAGAAAGCCACGGCUAACUACGUGCCAGCAGCCGCGGUAAUACGUAGGUGGCAAGCGUUGUCCGGAUUUAUUGGGCGUAAAGCGAGCGCAGGCGGUUUCUUAAGUCUGAUGUGAAAGCCCCCGGCUCAACCGGGGAGGGUCAUUGGAAACUGGGAGACUUGAGUGCAGAAGAGGAGAGUGGAAUUCCAUGUGUAGCGGUGAAAUGCGUAGAUAUAUGGAGGAACACCAGUGGCGAAGGCGGCUCUCUGGUCUGUAACUGACGCUGAGGCUCGAAAGCGUGGGGAGCAAACAGGAUUAGAUACCCUGGUAGUCCACGCCGUAAACGAUGAGUGCUAAGUGUUGGAGGGUUUCCGCCCUUCAGUGCUGCAGCUAACGCAUUAAGCACUCCGCCUGGGGAGUACGACCGCAAGGUUGAAACUCAAAGGAAUUGACGGGGGCCCGCACAAGCGGUGGAGCAUGUGGUUUAAUUCGAAGCAACGCGAAGAACCUUACCAGGUCUUGACAUCCUUUGACCACUCUAGAGAUAGAGCUUCCCCUUCGGGGGCAAAGUGACAGGUGGUGCAUGGUUGUCGUCAGCUCGUGUCGUGAGAUGUUGGGUUAAGUCCCGCAACGAGCGCAACCCUUAUUGUUAGUUGCCAUCAUUUAGUUGGGCACUCUAGCAAGACUGCCGGUGACAAACCGGAGGAAGGUGGGGAUGACGUCAAAUCAUCAUGCCCCUUAUGACCUGGGCUACACACGUGCUACAAUGGGAAGUACAACGAGUCGCGAAGUCGCGAGGCUAAGCUAAUCUCUUAAAGCUUCUCUCAGUUCGGAUUGUAGGCUGCAACUCGCCUACAUGAAGCCGGAAUCGCUAGUAAUCGCGGAUCAGCACGCCGCGGUGAAUACGUUCCCGGGCCUUGUACACACCGCCCGUCACACCACGAGAGUUUGUAACACCCGAAGUCGGUGAGGUAACCUUUUUGGAGCCAGCCGCC